Molecule: ribosomal RNA, 776 nt
Filed under: uncultured Neocallimastigales
Lineage: Eukaryota; Fungi; Neocallimastigomycota; Neocallimastigomycetes; Neocallimastigales
Description: partial large subunit ribosomal RNA
Rfam family: Eukaryotic large subunit ribosomal RNA
Source: RNAcentral
CGCAUCUGUGCAUGCAGCAUAUCAAUAAGCGGAGGAAAAGAAACUAACAAGGAUUCCCCUAGUAACGGCGAGUGAAGCGGGAAGAGCUCAAAUUUGAAAUCUUAAAGGGUUUCCCUUUACGAAUUGUAGUUUAAAGAAGUGUUUUCUGUUGAGGUUUUGGUAAAAGUUCUUUGGAAUAGGACAUCAUAGAGGGUGAGAAUCCCGUAUUUGACCUUUACUUUCAACUUUGUGAUGACACUUUCAAAGAGUCCGAUUGUUUAGGGAAUGCAGUCCAAAAUGGGUGGUAAAUUUCAUCUAAAGCUAAAUAUUGGCGAGAGACCGAUAGCGAACAAGUACCGUGAGGGAAAGAUGAAAAGAACUUUGAAAAGAGAGUUAAACAGUACGUGAAAUUGUCAAAAGGGAAGCGUUUGACACCAGUGUUGUUUUUCUGAAAAUCAAUUAAAGAACUGUUUAUGCUAAGUUGUUUAGACUUUAUCAGCUAUCUGCUUAGUUUUGAGCUUUUCUUUAAUGCACUUUUCAGUUAACAAGUCAACAUCAAUUUCUUUUGCUGUAAAAAAGCUUGAGGAAGGUGGCUUGAGAUUCGUCUUAAGUGUUUAUAGCCUCUUGCCUAUGCAGUCGGAGAGAUUGAGGUCUGCAGCGUAGAUCCUUCGGGGCUAAAUGCAUUUGUGCUAAGUUAUAGCAUUUUAUAGACAACUUGUUGACUAUGAUUUGUCUUGUAGCUUACUCGCUUAUGUUAUUUUACCUACGCUUAGGAUGUUGAGCGCAUGUCUCUCUCU